This 253-nucleotide ribosomal RNA is filed under the name uncultured bacterium. RNAcentral's name for it is "partial 16S ribosomal RNA". It matches the Rfam family "Bacterial small subunit ribosomal RNA", at positions 524 to 776 of the family's 1533-position model. The record is from RNAcentral.
UACAGAGGCCUCGAGCGUUAGGCGGAAUCACUGGGCUUAAAGCGUGUGUAGGCGGACCCCUAAGUACCUUGUGAAAUCCCACGGCUCACCCGUGGAACGGCUGGGUAUACUGGGGGUCUUGAGCCACCUAGGGGCGAGUGAAACAAAUGGUGGAGCGGUGAAAUGCGUAGAUAUCAUUUGGAACGCCAAUGGUGAAAACAACUCGCUGGGGGUGUGCUGACGCUGAGACACGAAAGCCAGGGGAGCGAACGGG